GAGCACGUAGGUGGGUUUGUAAGUCAGAUGUGGAGGCCUUCUGUUCAACGGAAGAAUUGCAUCUGAAACUGCGAGUCUUGAGUGUAGGAGGGGAGAAUGGAACUUCUGGUGGAGCGGUGAAAUGCGUAGAUAUCAGAAGGGACGCCGACGGCGAAAGCGAUUCUCUGGCCUAUUACUGACACUCAGUGUGCGAAAGCUAGGGGAGCAAACGGGAUUAGAUACCCCGGUAGUCCUAGCCGUAAACGAUGGGCACUAAGUAGAGGGGUUUU
Molecule: ribosomal RNA, 269 nt
Filed under: uncultured Planctomycetales bacterium
Lineage: Bacteria; Pseudomonadati; Planctomycetota; Planctomycetia; Planctomycetales
Description: partial 16S ribosomal RNA
Rfam family: Bacterial small subunit ribosomal RNA
Source: RNAcentral